GACGAACGCUGGCGGCGUGCUUAACACAUGCAAGUCGAACGAUGAAGCUGGAGCUUGCUCCGGUGGAUUAGUGGCGAACGGGUGAGUAACACGUGAGCAAUCUGCCCUUGACUUUGGGAUAACUGCGGGAAACUGUAGCUAAUAUCGGAUACUUUCACUGGAAGGCAUCAUCUGGUGAAGUAAGAAUUACGGUCAAGGAGGAGCUCGAGGCCGAUCAGCUUGUUGGUGAGUAAACGGCUCACCAAGGCGACGAAGGGUAGCCGGCCGGGGAGGGUGGCCGGGCACACUGGGACUGACACACGGCCCGGCCUCACACGCGCGGCAGCAGUGGGGAAUAUUGCACAAUGAGUGCAAGCCUGAUGCAGCAACGCCGCGUGAGGGAUGAAGGCCGUCGGGUUGUAAACCUCUUUUAGCAGGGAAGAAGCGAAAGUGACGGUACCUGCAGAAAAAGCACCGGCUAACCACGUGCCAGCCGCCGCAGUAA
This 484-nucleotide ribosomal RNA is filed under the name uncultured bacterium. RNAcentral's name for it is "partial 16S ribosomal RNA". It matches the Rfam family "Bacterial small subunit ribosomal RNA", at positions 28 to 523 of the family's 1533-position model. The record is from RNAcentral.